Pan troglodytes (chimpanzee) is the source of this 237-nucleotide long non-coding RNA. RefSeq lists it as uncharacterized. The transcript has 3 exons. The record is from RefSeq and is a predicted model, not a curated record. NCBI's taxonomy places the organism in Eukaryota, Metazoa, Chordata, Mammalia, Primates, Hominidae.
UGUUACUCCCCCAACUUCUGGGAGUGUUUUUGGCUGAAAGCUCUCAGUCAGAGCCUUGCUCUGGGAAUUGUCCUCAGCCAAGGAGAGGAAGAGUCAAACAUGACUUUUAAGAAGUGUUGAAGCCCUACAUUCCUUGAAAAAUUAUGCCGAAUAUCACCUGUACCUUUCAUUUUAUGGAUUGCAAAGGAAGUAGUUUACCAUGUGAUGUAAGUUAGAGGAUUGAAAAUUGCCCUUUGA